AGGUAUCCCAAGCCCAAUGGACCC
Molecule: non-coding RNA, 24 nt
Filed under: Arabidopsis thaliana (thale cress)
Lineage: Eukaryota; Viridiplantae; Streptophyta; Magnoliopsida; Brassicales; Brassicaceae
Source: RNAcentral